Molecule: ribosomal RNA, 403 nt
Filed under: uncultured bacterium
Lineage: Bacteria
Description: bacterial SSU rRNA
Rfam family: Bacterial small subunit ribosomal RNA
Source: RNAcentral
CAAGGAAUAUUGCGCAAUGGGCGAAAGCCUGACGCAGCGACGCCGCGUGAGGGAAGAAGGCCUUCGGGUCGUAGACCUCUUUCUUGGGGAAGAAUAAUGACGGUACCCAGGGAAUAAGUCACGGCUAACUACGUGCCAGCAGCCGCGGUAAUACGUAGGCGGCGAGCAUUAUCCGGAUUUAUUGGGCGUAAAGCGGGUGUAGGUGGUUUUUCAAGUCGGAUGUGAAAUUUCUCGGCUUAACUGGGAAGGGUCAUUCGAUACUGUUAGACUAGAGGGCAGCAGAGGGAGAUGGAAUUCCCGGUGUAGUGGUGAAAUGCGUAGAUAUCGGGAGGAACACCAGUGGCGAAAGCGGUCUCCUGGGCUGUUCCUGACACUGAGGCCCAAAAGCGUGGGUAGCAAACAG